Molecule: small nuclear RNA, 108 nt
Organism: Heterocephalus glaber (naked mole-rat)
Lineage: Eukaryota; Metazoa; Chordata; Mammalia; Rodentia; Bathyergidae
Source: Ensembl
GUGCUUGCUUCGGCAGCACAUAUACUAAAAUUGGAAUGAUACAGAGACGAUUAACAUGGCCCCUGCGCAAGGAUGACACGUAAAAACUUCUUACUAUGCUUAAUUUAU